UACGUAGGGGGCAAGCGUUGUCCGGAAUCAUUGGGCGUAAAGAGCGUGUAGGCGGCCAGAUAAGUCCGCUGUGAAAUCUCGAGGCUCAACUUCGAGCUGUCGGUGGAAACUGUCUGGCUGGAGUCCGGAAGAGGAGAAUGGAAUUCCUGGUGUAGCGGUGAAAUGCGCAGAUAUCAGGAAGAACACCCGUGGCGAAGGCGGUUCUCUGGGACGGUACUGACGCUGAGACGCGAAAGCGUGGGGAGCGAACAGG
RNAcentral lists this ribosomal RNA (253 nucleotides) under uncultured bacterium. Its description in RNAcentral is "partial 16S ribosomal RNA". It matches the Rfam family "Bacterial small subunit ribosomal RNA", at positions 524 to 776 of the family's 1533-position model. The record is from RNAcentral.